ACGCUCGACACCUACGGAGGCAGCAGUAGGGAAUCUUCCACAAUGGACGCAAGUCUGAUGGAGCAACGCCGCGUGAGUGAAGAAGGUCUUCGGAUCGUAAAACUCUGUUGUUAGAGAAGAACACGAGUGAGAGUAACUGUUCAUUCGAUGACGGUAUCUAACCAGCAAGUCACGGCUAACUACGUGCCAGAAGCCGCGGUAAUCUGAGCGGGCUGGCAAGGC
RNAcentral lists this ribosomal RNA (222 nucleotides) under uncultured bacterium. RNAcentral describes it as "partial 16S ribosomal RNA". It matches the Rfam family "Bacterial small subunit ribosomal RNA", at positions 328 to 539 of the family's 1533-position model. The record is from RNAcentral.